RNAcentral lists this ribosomal RNA (529 nucleotides) under uncultured bacterium. RNAcentral describes it as "bacterial SSU rRNA". It matches the Rfam family "Bacterial small subunit ribosomal RNA", at positions 777 to 1304 of the family's 1533-position model. The record is from RNAcentral.
AAUAGAUACCCAGGUAGUCCACGCCGUAAACGAUGAGUACUAGUUAUUGGAGGUAUUGACUCCUUCAGUGACGCAGCUAACGCAUUAAGUACUCCGCCUGGGAAGUACGGUCGCAAGACUAAAACUCAAACAAAUUGACGGGGGCCCGCACAAGCGGUGGAUUAUGUGGUUUAAUUCGAAGCAACGCGCAGAACCUUACCUAGGCUUGAACUCCUACGAAUCCGGGGUAAUGCCUGGAGUGUCCGCAAGGAAAUGUAGUGAGAGGUGCUGCAUGGCUGUCGUCAGCUCGUGUUGUGAAAUGUUGGGUUAAGUCUCGCAACGAGCGCAACCCCUAUCGUCUGUUGCCAGCAUUAAGUUGGGCACUCUGACGAGACUGCCUGGGUUAACCAGGAGGAAGGUGGGGAUGACGUCAAGUCCUCAUGGCCCUUAUGUCUAGGGCUACACACGUAAUACAAUGGCGCGUACAAAAGGAAGCGAACUCGCAAGGGGAAGCAAAUCUCAAAAAGCGCGCCUCAGUUCGGAUUGGAGU